Molecule: ribosomal RNA, 588 nt
Filed under: uncultured bacterium
Lineage: Bacteria
Description: partial 16S ribosomal RNA
Rfam family: Bacterial small subunit ribosomal RNA
Source: RNAcentral
UGGGGAAUUUUGGACAAUGGGCGAAAGCCUGAUCCAGCAAUGCCGCGUGUGUGAAGAAGGCCUUCGGGUUGUAAAGCACUUUUGUCCGGAAAGAAAUCCUUGGCUCUAAUACAGUCGGGGGAUGACGGUACCGGAAGAAUAAGCACCGGCUAACUACGUGCCAGCAGCCGCGGUAAUACGUAGGGUGCAAGCGUUAAUCGGAAUUACUGGGCGUAAAGCGUGCACAGGCGGUUUGCUAAGACCGAUGUGAAAUCCCCGGGCUCAACCUGGGAACUGCAUUGGUGACUGGCAGGCUAGAGUAUGGCAGAGGGGGGUAGAAUUCCACGUGUAGCAGUGAAAUGCGUAGAGAUGUGGAGGAAUACCGAUGGCGAAGGCAGCCCCCUGGGCCAAUACUGACGCUCAUGCACGAAAGCGUGGGGGAGCAAAACAGGAUUAGAUACCCUGGUAGUCCACGCCCUAAAACGAUGUCAACUAGUUGUUGGGGAUUCAUUUCCUUAGUAACGUAGCUAACGCGUGAAGUUGACCGCCUGGGGGAGUACGGUCGCAAGAUUAAAACUCAAAUGAAUUGACGGGGUCAAGCUGUUUCCU